GUCUCUUCGGAGACAUCUGAUAAAAUUGGAACGAUACAGAGAAGAUUAGCAUGGCCCCUGCACAAGGAUGACACGCACAAAUCGAGAAAUGGUCCAAAUUUUU
This is a small nuclear RNA of Zostera marina, 103 nucleotides long. NCBI's taxonomy places the organism in Eukaryota, Viridiplantae, Streptophyta, Magnoliopsida, Alismatales, Zosteraceae. The record is from Rfam.